Molecule: long non-coding RNA, 438 nt
Filed under: Fukomys damarensis (Damara mole-rat)
Lineage: Eukaryota; Metazoa; Chordata; Mammalia; Rodentia; Bathyergidae
Description: lncRNA (ENSFDAG00000029984.1)
Source: RNAcentral
CUCUCAGAAGGUGCGAUGGGGGUGGAGGCGUCCUCCUUAGUGCAGCCUGCCUCAACCGUACCACUGUCAUCUGCGACCUGCACAUCAUUCCUUCAUUCAGCAAGUGCCACUAAGCGUCUCCCAGUUGCACUGGCAUCUGGGGUUCCGGGGAGCUCCACAGAACCCACGUCUUGUAGAUCCCGCAGUGGCCUCCUCAGACAGACACACAGAAAGAAGCAAGGCCACCAACUGUCCAGGUGGACCGAUGAUGGAUGGCCCGAGGAGGAGUAGAAGGACCAGGAAGAGAAGGGGCUGGAGAACUGACCAGUUGGCAGGAUCUCCAGCAGCUCAACGGAGGCCCCACGGAGGACAGCGGUGUGGACUAGAGUCCCCCUCAUGGCCCCGGGACAGCCCAGAACCCUUGGUGGACCCCACACCAGAUGAGGCUCUUUCCAAGAC